This 253-nucleotide unclassified non-coding RNA is filed under the name uncultured Bacillaceae bacterium. RNAcentral describes it as "contains 16S-23S intergenic spacer region". It matches the Rfam family "Bacterial small subunit ribosomal RNA", at positions 524 to 776 of the family's 1533-position model. The record is from RNAcentral. Lineage: Bacteria; Bacillati; Bacillota; Bacilli; Caryophanales; Bacillaceae.
UACGUAGGUUGCAAGCGUUGUCCGGUAUUAUUGGGCGUAAAGCGCGCGUAGGCGGUUUUUUAAGUCGGAUGUGAAAGCCCCGGGCUCAACCGUGGAGGGUCAUUGGAAACUGGGAGACUUGAGUACAGCAGAGGAGAGUGGAAUUCCACGUGUAGCGGUGAAAUGCGUAGAUAUGUGGAGGAACACCAGUGGCGAAGGCGACUCUCUGGUCUGUAACUGACGCUGAGGCGCGAAAGCGUGGGGAGCAAACAGG